RNAcentral lists this ribosomal RNA (460 nucleotides) under uncultured bacterium. RNAcentral describes it as "partial 16S ribosomal RNA". It matches the Rfam family "Bacterial small subunit ribosomal RNA", at positions 338 to 795 of the family's 1533-position model. The record is from RNAcentral.
CCUACGGGAGGCUGCAGUGAGGAAUAUUGGUCAAUGGACGAGAGUCUGAACCAGCCAAGUAGCGUGAAGGAUGACUGCCCUAUGGGUUGUAAACUUCUUUUAUAAAGGAAUAAAACGAGGCACGUGUGCCUUUUUGCAUGUACUUUAUGAAUAAGGAUCGGCUAACUCCGUGCCAGCAGCCGCGGUAAUACGGAGGAUCCGAGCGUUAUCCGGAUUUAUUGGGUUUAAAGGGAGCGUAGAUGGGUUGUUAAGUCAGUUGUGAAAGGUUGCGGCUCAACCGUAAAAUUGCAAUUGAUACUGGCAGUCUUGAGUACAGUUGAGGUAGGCGGAAUUCGUGGUGUAGCGGUGAAAUGCUUAGAUAUCACGAAGAACCCCGAUUGCGAAGGCAGCUUACUAAACUGUGACUGACAUUGAUGCUCGAAAGUGUGGGUAUCAAACAGGAUUAGAUACCCCGGUAGUC